Molecule: ribosomal RNA, 526 nt
Filed under: Staphylococcus aureus
Lineage: Bacteria; Bacillati; Bacillota; Bacilli; Caryophanales; Staphylococcaceae
Description: partial 23S ribosomal RNA
Rfam family: Bacterial large subunit ribosomal RNA
Source: RNAcentral
GUCUCUCUUGAGUGGAUCCUGAGUACGACGGAGCACGUGAAAUUCCGUCGGAAUCUGGGAGGACCAUCUCCUAAGGCUAAAUACUCUCUAGUGACCGAUAGUGAACCAGUACCGUGAGGGAAAGGUGAAAAGCACCCCGGAAGGGGAGUGAAAUAGAACCUGAAACCGUGUGCUUACAAGUAGUCAGAGCCCGUUAAUGGGUGAUGGCGUGCCUUUUGUAGAAUGAACCGGCGAGUUACGAUUUGAUGCAAGGUUAAGCAGUAAAUGUGGAGCCGUAGCGAAAGCGAGUCUGAAUAGGGCGUUUAGUAUUUGGUCGUAGACCCGAAACCAGGUGAUCUACCCUUGGUCAGGUUGAAGUUCAGGUAACACUGAAUGGAGGACCGAACCGACUUACGUUGAAAAGUGAGCGGAUGAACUGAGGGUAGCGGAGAAAUUCCAAUCGAACCUGGAGAUAGCUGGUUCUCUCCGAAAUAGCUUUAGGGCUAGCCUCAAGUGAUGAUUAUUGGAGGUAGAGCACUGUUUGGAC